Molecule: ribosomal RNA, 497 nt
Filed under: uncultured bacterium
Lineage: Bacteria
Description: partial 16S ribosomal RNA
Rfam family: Bacterial small subunit ribosomal RNA
Source: RNAcentral
GACGAACGCUGGCGGCGUGCCUAAUACAUGCAAGUCGAACGCUGAAGAGAGGAGCUUACUCUUCUUGGAUGAGUUGCGAACGGGUGAGUAACGCGUAGGUAACCUGCCUUGUAGCGGGGGAUAACUAUUGGAAACGAUAGCUAAUACCGCAUAACAAUGGAUGACACAUGUCAUUUAUUUGAAAGGGGCAAUUGCUCCACUACAAGAUGGACCUGCGUUGUAUUAGCUAGUAGGUGAGGUAAUGGCUCACCUAGGCGACGAUACAUAGCCGACCUGAGAGGGUGAUCGGCCACACUGGGAAUGAGACACGGCCCAGACUCCUACGGGAGGCAGCAGUAGGGAAUCUUCGGCAAUGGGGGCAACCCUGACCGAGCAACGCCGCGGGAGGGAAGAAGGGUUUCGGAUCGUAAAGCUCGGUUGUAAGUCAAGAACGGGUGUGAGAGUGGAAAGUUCACACUGUGACGGUAGCUUACCAGAAAGGGACGGCUAACUACGUG